CACGUAGGGGGCAAGCGUUGUCCGGAAUCAUUGGGCGUAAAGAGCGUGUAGGCGGCCCGGUAAGUCCGCUGUGAAAGUCGAGGGCUCAACCCUCGAAUGCCGGCGGAUACUGUCGGGCUAGAGUCCGGAAGAGGCGAGUGGAAUUCCUGGUGUAGCGGUGAAAUGCGCAGAUAUCAGGAGGAACACCUACGGCGAAGGCAGCUCGCUGGGACGGUACUGACGCUGAGACGCGAAAGCGUGGGGAGCAAACAGG
This 253-nucleotide ribosomal RNA is filed under the name uncultured bacterium. RNAcentral's name for it is "partial 16S ribosomal RNA". It matches the Rfam family "Bacterial small subunit ribosomal RNA", at positions 524 to 776 of the family's 1533-position model. The record is from RNAcentral.